UAGUCCACGCCGUAAACGAUGUGCACUAGGUCGGGGAAGUUUUGACACUGUUCUCGGCCGAAGCAAAAGUAUUAAGUGCACCGCCUGGGGAGUACGGUCGCAAGGCUAAAACUCAAAGGAAUUGACGGGGCUCACACAAGCGAUGGAGCAUGUGGCUUAAUUCGAUGCAACGCGAAGAACCUUAUCCUGGAUUUGACAUGUACGGAUUAGCUUUUCGAAAGAUAAGUAACGCCCUCGGGUGGAACGUACACAGGUGCUGCAUGGCUGUCGUCAGCUCGUGCUGUGAAGUGUUGGGUUAAGUCCCUUAACGAGCGCAACCCUUAUCGCUAGUUGCCAGCGGGUAAAGCCGGGGACUCUAGCGAGACUGCCGGUGUCAAACCGGGAGGAAGGUGGGGAUGGACGUCAAGUCCGCAUGGCCUUUAUGUCCAGGGGCCGCACACGUGCUACAAUGGUAGGUACAGAACGAUGCAAUAUCGCGAGAUGGGAGCAAAUC
This 493-nucleotide ribosomal RNA is filed under the name uncultured bacterium. RNAcentral's name for it is "bacterial SSU rRNA". It matches the Rfam family "Bacterial small subunit ribosomal RNA", at positions 791 to 1273 of the family's 1533-position model. The record is from RNAcentral.